GUAAACCGCUUUCGCCUGUGACGAAGCGUGAGUGACGGUAAUGGGUAAAGAAGCACCGGCUAACUACGUGCCAGCAGCCGCGGUGAUACGUAGGGUGCGAGCGUUGUCCGGAUUUAUUGGGCGUAAAGGGCUCGUAGGUGGUUGAUCGCGUCGGAAGUGUAAUCUUGGGGCUUAACCCUGAGCGUGCUUUCGAUACGGGUUGACUUGAGGAAGGUAGGGGAGAAUGGAAUUCCUGGUGGAGCGGUGGAAUGCGCAGAUAUCAGGAGGAACACCAGUGGCGAAGGCGGUUCUCUGGGCCUUUCCUGACGCUGAGGAGCGAAAGCGUGGGGAGCGAACAGGCUUAGAUACCCUGGUAGUCCACGCUGUAAACGGUGGGUACUAGGUGUGGGGUCCAUUCCACGGGUUCCGUGCCGUAGCUAACGCUUUAAGUACCCCGCCUGGGGAGUACGGCCGCAAGGCUAAAACUCAAAUGAAUUGACGGAAUCG
RNAcentral lists this ribosomal RNA (486 nucleotides) under uncultured bacterium. RNAcentral describes it as "bacterial SSU rRNA". It matches the Rfam family "Bacterial small subunit ribosomal RNA", at positions 425 to 921 of the family's 1533-position model. The record is from RNAcentral.